Molecule: ribosomal RNA, 443 nt
Filed under: uncultured bacterium
Lineage: Bacteria
Description: partial 16S ribosomal RNA
Rfam family: Bacterial small subunit ribosomal RNA
Source: RNAcentral
ACUACGGGUGGCAGCAGUGGGGAAUAUUGGGCAAUGGGCGCAAGCCUGACCCAGCAACGCCGCGUGAAGGAAGAAGGCUUUCGGGUUGUAAACUUCUUUUCUCAGGGACGAAGAAAGUGACGGUACCUGAGGAAUAAGCCACGGCUAACUACGGGCCAGCAGCCGCGGUAAUACGUAGGUGGCAAGCGUUAUCCGGAUUUAUUGGGUGUAAAGGGCGUGUAGGCGGGAGCGCAAGUCAGAUGUGAAAACUCUGGGCUCAACCCUGAGCCUGCAUUUGAAACUGUGUUUCUUGAGUGCUGGAGAGGCAAUCGGAAUUCCGUGUGUAGCGGUGAAAUGCGGAGAUAUACGGAGGAACACCAGUGGCGAAGGCGGAUUGCUGGACAGUAACUGACGCUGAGGCGCGAAAGCGUGGGGAGCAAACAGGAUUAGAUACCCGAGUAGUC